Molecule: non-coding RNA, 1406 nt
Organism: Paramuricea clavata
Lineage: Eukaryota; Metazoa; Cnidaria; Anthozoa; Malacalcyonacea; Plexauridae
Source: the annotation of a GenBank genome assembly
AGGAACAUGUGACUGGAGUGUUUUUCAAAGUGAAUAGCGAAGACAAGGACGAAGUCAUCAAGUAUUUAGACUACCGGGAAAAGGGUGACUACCAAUUGGCUGAGAUGUUAUUCCACCCCGCUGUCGACAAUUGUCGCAAACCGUACAAUGUUCUUGUGUACACGGAUACGAAAGAAAACCCGAAUUACUUAGGGCCUGCCCCUGAGCAGGAAAUCGCAAAACAAAUUGUAUCGUCUGUCGGACCAAGUGGGCCAAAUUUGGAAUAUUUUAACAAACUGGUUGAAACGCAUCGUAUGUCGACGAUCAUCUAAGAAGCAUCAAGAAUUACAUAGACAAAGCAAUUUAAUUGUUCAAAUUUUUUAUUGUGCAAAUUGGAAAAAUUGUGCUGGGUGGGUGAAUUCUAUAUUAUGAUGUAAAUUAAAGUAAAAACAAUGUACAACUUAUGCACCAUUAGAUACAAGAGUAAAUUGAGAUUCUCAACAUUCAUCAAAUUGGGGCGAGGGGGGGGGGGGCUCUUGUCCCACCUUGAAGCCUGAUUUCCAUAUGAUCGUAAUGUUCGUAAAAAUAGAGUCACGAUCUUUCUCAAAGGUCAGUUUAUAAUAGUUUAUACCUGUAAACCAUAUAUAAAUCAUAAGUAUUCUCUAGUUAUAAUCACUCCGCGUAUUUUCAGUUCUGAAAUGUUGUAUUUCGGCUGAUGAGAAAGAUCGUGACUCAAUCUUUGCGACCGUUACGAGUGUGUCACAACGGGCAAGCCGGCUGACUAAAGUUUCGCUGAACCAACUUGUCUGACCUCUCGAUAGCUCAGUUGGUAGAGCAUUGGACUGCUAAACCAAACUUCCCAACAUAAAUAUAUGACAUUCAUUUGAACAGAUUGUCUCUUACCUAAUGAGGUCACAACAGCAUGGCUUCCACAAGUCUCAUUUUGUACACCUCACAUAAUUUUUAUUGCUAUUUCCCUCUAAAAUGUUAUUUGAAUUCAUGUUGAAUUAUGGGAGGGACCCUGGUUUUUACUGUUUUAUUUUAUUUUCGGUAGGAAAAAGCAAAAGGUCCAGAGAAUGAAAUUGCCAAGAUGGAUAAGUUGCUCAGCCUUGUUCGCGAACCUUCGGAGAAAAAAUAAAUAAACUGCCUUGGAGUUAUUUCAUUCAAUUUAUUUAUUUAUUGCAUACAAGAUCUCGAAGUAUCUCGAGUAUUAUGUAUAGGAGGCGGUUUGUUUUAUUGGGAUGGUUUGUUUUCUUUGUUUGUAAAUUGUGACUGGAUUCUGCUGCUCGCCUCACAUCAAUUAUGAUAAUAUAAUAUUGUAAAUAUCUUUGGCAUAUUUUCUUCUACAUAUAUAAAGGCCCAUAUAUAAAUAUGAGUCGUCGAAAAUGUACGUUCUAACUUGUCUUUUCAAACUUUAACAAACAACG